This is a non-coding RNA of Candidatus Kerfeldbacteria bacterium, 72 nucleotides long. The record is from Rfam. NCBI's taxonomy places the organism in Bacteria, Candidatus Kerfeldiibacteriota.
GCGGGUAUCGUAUAAUGGUUAUUACAUCUGGUUGCCAAUCAGAUAACGGGGGUUCGAUUCUCCCUACCCGCU